Molecule: ribosomal RNA, 828 nt
Filed under: uncultured bacterium
Lineage: Bacteria
Description: bacterial SSU rRNA
Rfam family: Bacterial small subunit ribosomal RNA
Source: RNAcentral
GGCGCACGGGUGCGUAACGCGUAUGCAAUCUACCUUUUGCAGAGGGACAGCCCAGAGAAAUUUGGAUUAAUACCUCAUAGUAUAGUACCUUCGCAUGAAGGAUCUAUUAAAGUCACAACGGCAAAAGAUGAGCAUGCGUCCCAUUAGCUAGAUGGUAAGGUAACGGCUUACCAUGGCAACGAUGGGUAGGGGUCCUGAGAGGGAGAUCCCCCACACUGGUACUGAGAUACGGACCAGACUCCUACGGGAGGCAGCAGUGAGGAAUAUUGGACAAUGGGCGCAAGCCUGAUCCAGCCAUGCCGCGUGCAGGAAGACGGUCCUUGGAUUGUAAACUGCUUUUGUACAGGAAGAAACACUACCUCGUGAGGUAGCUUGACGGUACUGUAAGAAUAAGGAUCGGCUAACUCCGUGCCAGCAGCCGCGGUAAUACGGAGGAUCCAAGCGUUAUCCGGAAUCAUUGGGUUUAAAGGGUCCGUAGGCGGUUUAGUAAGUCAGUGGUGAAAGCCCAUCGCUCAACGGUGGAACGGCCAUUGAUACUGCUAGACUUGAAUUAUAAGGAAGUAACUAGAAUAUGUAGUGUAGCGGUGAAAUGCUUAGAGAUUACAUGGAAUACCAAUUGCGAAGGCAGGUUACUACUUAUGGAUUGACGCUGAUGGACGAAAGCGUGGGUAGCGAACAGGAUUAGAUACCCUGGUAGUCCACGCCGUAAACGAUGGAUACUAGCUGUUGGGGGCAACUUCAGUGGCUAAGCGAAAGUGAUAAGUAUCCCACCUGGGGAGUACGUUCGCAAGAAUGAAACUCAAAGGAAUUGACGGGGGCCCGCACAAG